AUGGCCUGAUUAAACUGUUGUUCAGGUGUGUCCAAUUCUUUGUGACAUCAUGGAUUAUUGCCACAGUACGGCCCUUGUAUCUUCCAUUAUUUCCUCAAGUUUGUCCAAGUUCAUGUUCACUGCUUCCAUGACACUAUCCAGCUCAUCCUCUGUUAUCCCUUUCUUCAUUCACCUUCAAACUUUCUUUAACAUCAGGGGUUCUUUUCCAAUGACUCCUUUCCUCUCACAAUGUAGCCCAAGUAUUUAAACUUCAGCUUUAGUAUUUGACCUUCCAAAGAAUAGUCUGAAUUAAUUUCUUUAAAUAUUGACUGAUUUGAUCUCCUUGUUGAAAAGGGAAGCUCAAAAGUCUUCACCAGCAUCACAGUUCUAAAGUUUCCAUCUCUCUUCAAAUUCUGCAAAUCUUUUAAGGUCCAUGAACUUUUUGGUUUCUUAUUUGAUUGCUCAAAGCUUUCUUUGGAAGUUUUACAACAUAGUCUGAUCCACAUAAUAUGGGCAUUAAUACAUUAGUUUCUAUCAACUCCUUGUUUCAUACACAUAAAUCUUACUUUUCUUAACUGAUUUGUGAAGUCUUUGAAAGAACUCCAUUUUAUACUUAUUUUGCACGAAGACUGUUAAAUAUUGGAAAGGAAUACCAAUGGAAGUUGUGUUCUUCCCUAGAGGGAUGUGAGAAUGGGCCAUGUAUCUUUUUUCUCAAAUUCUAGAUUUUCAAUUUUCUAAACAUCUUCUAGAAGCACUCUCUCUCUCUCUCUCUCUCUCUCUCUCUCUCUCUCUCUCUCUCUCUCUCUCUCGUUCUCUCUCUCAUAUAUGUAUAUACAUAUAGUGCUAAAGAAAAAUUGUGUGACAUGAAAGGAAGAUUUGAUGCCAAGUUCUUACCACUCAUGGCCAGAUCAUUCAAUGUGUUCAGAUUUCAUGAAGGUUGAUUGGACUUGAUCCAUCAUUUUACGGAAAAUUAAUUAUUUCAAAUACAUGCACCACUGUAUGCAACCUGCCUGAUUUGCAUUGAGGAAAAUUCAGCAGAAGUAAUUGAGGCACAAGCAAAUACUGGCACUGACUGAACUCAAUUUUCAUUCCAAAUUUCUGCAAAAUCCCAAGGCACAACAAUAUCAGAUGCAAGGGGGAAAACAAACAAAAGCAAUGUGAAAAGGGAACAUGAAGAGAGAAUAUUACAAGAAUCAGAGAACAAAGGGAUUGCAGAACUAUUUUAGUGCCAUAGAUGAGCAGUGAGGGCUUCAUUCAGGCAAGGUGGAAUGAGAUAUCAUAUGGCAUCCUGACAAUUGAUGUCUUCAUUUAAAUGUAAGAAUUUACAUUCUAAUUAGAAAGAAUUUACAUCUUAA
Long non-coding RNA from Monodelphis domestica (gray short-tailed opossum), 1334 nucleotides. RefSeq lists it as uncharacterized. Lineage: Eukaryota; Metazoa; Chordata; Mammalia; Didelphimorphia; Didelphidae. The record is from RefSeq and is a predicted model, not a curated record.